UAGUACAUGUGCUGACAAGCUCAUCCACAUCAAAAUCAAGUGAAGUUCAUGCCAUUCGACUCUAUAACAAAAAAAUGUUAGGGCAAAAGCCCUUCCCAUUGCACAGGAAACGGUCAUUUUCUGUUACACAACCCAGGAGUAAGCAAAAAUAGAUGACAGGAUGUUGUUCUCAUACGACUAUGCUGAUGCCCAGUGACAGCUUUUUUCCAUGCAGCAAAGGGAGGCGCUAAUAAACCGGGAUGCAAAUGACUUAAUUGCCAUUUUGUGCUGGUUAAUUAGUAAGGACGGUCCAGGAAAACCGCAAAAUAGGUCACAAAGGAGGAUGACGUUAUGGGAGACCUCCAAUACUGAAAUGACAGCCCCCCCCCUUUGUGUGGGCGGAGGGAGCCAUGGCGAGGCCGGCAGGGUCCAGUGGAAGAGGGAAGUCAUCUUCUGUGCAGCAGCCAUGUUGCCUAGCAAUAAAAAUAUUUACUCUUUAACUGGAGAUUUUGGAAAUGUAUAAAAAAACAAUGAAACUUUUCCGUCUAAAUGAAUCGUGGAGACCUCUGCCAGCCACAGUCAGGGAAGAUCCUGCUUGUCUGGAUUCUUGUGAUAGGCUGGGACAGUGAAAUCCUGUUACCAUGGUGACGAGAAGAAACUAUCCGGACAGAGUCUGACAGGACCCUGAUCGCCAUGGUGAUUCACGCUGUAUGGGUGGCCUUUGGGUAUGAUGUUUGCCCUCAAGAUAAAACUGCUGCUUUUUUUUUUUUGUCAAGGGGAGCAGGUUUCACUUUUUGAAAGUAGCGGCUGUCUGCUGGACUUGCUUCAAAACCCGCAGAUGCUCAAUCCGACCGGAGAAGAUUGCUGGUGACAUGUUCCAGCCUGGAACCACGCUGACGCUGCUGCGAGUGUAGGGAAGGAAGAGCCACACCUACGAGUCUGACACUCACUCUAGGAGGGAAUGGACACAUGAAAACAGCUGUGAGAGGGGAGGUUAAAUGAAGGAAAUCUAAAUGUGUAAGUUAGUAUAUACAGUAAAGAAAAGUGUCUAACUUGAAUUGAAGUGUUUUAAUGUCCGAGGUUCUGGGUGUUCAGGAUGCCCAUAGCGUCACUUUUGGAUUUGCACAGAUUUUCCUAACUGCUAACAUCCACUGCACAAAUUGCUAUGAGAUUCUGGAAAAUAUCCUUCCUACAAUUAAAUGCAUUUAUUGUGUUUA
Oryzias melastigma (Indian medaka) is the source of this 1196-nucleotide long non-coding RNA. RefSeq lists it as uncharacterized. The record is from RefSeq and is a predicted model, not a curated record. NCBI's taxonomy places the organism in Eukaryota, Metazoa, Chordata, Actinopteri, Beloniformes, Adrianichthyidae. The transcript has 2 exons.